CCGGGGUGGGCUCCGGAGGACGGACCGCAGAGGUGGGCCGGGAGGCGCUGGCGAGCACGCAGCUCCCUCAGGCUCGUCCCAGCCUCACGUCCGGAGUCACCGCAGCAGAAUAGAGUCACACCUGGGUGUGGGCUCCUGGACCUUCCCGCGUGAGGAGACAACGGGAGCCCAUGUUCAUCAUUUUGAAGAACCACAGAUUUUGAGUCAUGCCAGGGGCUCCGGUGAAAAUGUCAUGGGAAGCCAGCCCUCCGCGUCUAACAUUUCAGCUUGAGGGUGACCGGGAGCUCUGGGGUGGCCCUAGACCUGGGAAUGGACUCCCAGGCGCAGUGGCAGGCAUUUCUCUUGCUUUUUCUUUAUGAUUGACCUGGGCUGGCCAUGUCCCCGUCAAUGCAGCUGGUUCUCAAAGGCCCCACUCUUCCCCGCGGCUCCGUUUACCACCAACGCGCUUGUCCCGUGGCACUUAGAGGGAGACCUGCUCCUCCUGAGAAUCCAGGAAGGAACUGAAGAGACGACGUUGCUUUCUGAUCUUUCUCAGGCCAGAGGAAGUUUGUGGGCCAAGUGAUAUUCCUAAUUCAAACUUUAUUAUGUAAUUAUAGUACAAAACAUAUUAUUUUUCUCUUUAUUUUUCCUCUCUCAGUUAAUGGUAAAU
Molecule: long non-coding RNA, 649 nt
Filed under: Homo sapiens (human)
Lineage: Eukaryota; Metazoa; Chordata; Mammalia; Primates; Hominidae
Description: non-protein coding LINC02116:4
Source: RNAcentral